RNAcentral lists this ribosomal RNA (433 nucleotides) under uncultured bacterium. Its description in RNAcentral is "partial 16S ribosomal RNA". It matches the Rfam family "Bacterial small subunit ribosomal RNA", at positions 29 to 507 of the family's 1533-position model. The record is from RNAcentral.
AACGAACGCUGGCGGCAUGCCUAACACAUGCAAGUCGAACGAGACCUUCGGGUCUAGUGGCGCACGGGUGCGUAACGCGUGGGAAUCUGCCCUUGGGUUCGGAAUAACAGUUGGAAACGACUGCUAAUACCGGAUGAUGACGUAAGUCCAAAGAUUUAUCGCCCAAGGAUGAGCCCGCGUAGGAUUAGCUAGUUGGUGAGGUAAAGGCUCACCAAGGCGGCGAUCCUUAGCUGGUCUGAGAGGAUGAUCAGCCACACUGGGGCUGAGACACGGCCCAGACUCCUACGGGAGGCAGCAGUGGGGAAUAUUGGACAAUGGGCGAAAGCCUGAUCCAGCAAUGCCGCGUGAGUGAUGAAGGCCUUAGGGUUGUAAAGCUCUUUUACCCGGGAUGAUAAUGACAGUACCGGGAGAAUAAGCUCCGGCUAACUCCGUG